AUAAAUCUGCAGUUCCUGAAAAUCUGGUAGCAUUAAUUACAAAGUGGUUAACGGAACAUCCAUCACUUUGUUAUACUGCCAUUAUCACCAAUCUACAACCUGCACUGCCUUUAGGAGGAAUACCAAUGCCUGCUUUAACGCCUUAUGUUGGUCUUCUGAAGUGGUGUAUAUGCUGCCCUUUAAAUAACAAUACCUCUAGCUUGUAUUCACAGCUACAUCUAGCAUUACUACAGAGCCUAGAGGAAAGUUUCCAUUCCAAAUUGAUACCUCAGCCACGAAACAUUAUACCUGUUCAAAUUCUGUCAAGUUUUAUACCUAUUCUAGUCAACAAAGUUAAACAGUUGAGCAAGCAGCAUCCAAAUGACUCAGAAGUGGAGAAAAAUAUUCAGUUAUCAUUAGACAGGUUAGCACAAGCAAUACAAGUAGCUUUGGCAACGGAGUCACUUUUUGGGAACAAAGGUAAGAAAACAUGGAAUUCGCAAUUUAAUUAUACGUAUGCAGAAUUGGAAGUUACACUCGGCCCAAAAUUCCUCCUUUACCUUAUUGCUUUUUUACAACAUUAUACCCCAAACACUCUGUUUUUCCCUAUAAAUAUGCAACAUGUUGAGUUCAACUAUGCUAAAGUCACACUUGAUCCUAGGCAUUAA
Molecule: long non-coding RNA, 647 nt
Filed under: Bemisia tabaci
Lineage: Eukaryota; Metazoa; Arthropoda; Insecta; Hemiptera; Aleyrodidae
Description: lncRNA ENSSSA1NGG014791
Source: RNAcentral